RNAcentral lists this non-coding RNA (26 nucleotides) under Rattus norvegicus (Norway rat). The record is from RNAcentral. Lineage: Eukaryota; Metazoa; Chordata; Mammalia; Rodentia; Muridae.
UGUAAAGUGUGUGCGGUGCAAGCAGA